UGCUUUUCUCUUUUUCCUUGGAUAUAUUUUUUCUACAAUCUCUUUAAUUGAUCAUCAUCACUUCCAUGUUGCUGCACCUUCAUGCUUUGCUUUCAUUUCAUCAUUUCUCUUUCUUUUCCAUAUUUUACAAAUCACUUUCAUACUCCACUUUCAUUAUUUUUCUUCCACUCAUCAUUUCACUCUUCUUUUUCUUCCCUAUAUAAACACCUUCUCCUCUCAUUCUAAAACACAUUCCUUCAUCCAUUCCAUCUUCUUUGUCUCUCCAUUUCCUUUCCAUUUUUCUAUACACACAUUCCUUCAUCCAUCUCAUCUCCUUGUCUCACCAUUUCCUCUCCAUUUUCCUUAGUCACCAUUUCAUACAAAAAUUCCUUCAUCCAUCUCAUCUCCUUGUCUCACCAUUUCCUCUCCAUUUUCCUUAGUCACCAUUUCAUACAAAAAUUCCUUCAUCCAUCUCAUCUUCUUUGUCUCUCCAUUUCCUUUCCAUUUUUCUCUCAAUUCUCUAGUUUUAAGUUUCUGCAUUUUUAUGCAAAGAGAAGAAGAGAAGAAGAAGCCAUGAAGCCUACUAGCCGUCAUCAUCCACCUUGUGCCGUGAUAGUGAAGUCUUGCUUUAAAGAUUCAAGAUCAACGUCUCAAGCUCUUCAUCAUCCACUCCCUUCAUGGUAUUUGUAG
This 669-nucleotide long non-coding RNA is filed under the name Rosa chinensis. RNAcentral describes it as "sRNA RchiOBHm_Chr2g0125121". Lineage: Eukaryota; Viridiplantae; Streptophyta; Magnoliopsida; Rosales; Rosaceae. The record is from RNAcentral.